RNAcentral lists this transfer RNA (68 nucleotides) under Grandisonia alternans. Its description in RNAcentral is "tRNA-His". It matches the Rfam family "tRNA". Rfam says of the family: Transfer RNA (tRNA) molecules are approximately 80 nucleotides in length. Their secondary structure includes four short double-helical elements and three loops (D, anti-codon, and T loops). Lineage: Eukaryota; Metazoa; Chordata; Amphibia; Gymnophiona; Indotyphlidae. The record is from RNAcentral.
GUAGACAUAGUUUACACAAAACAUUAGAUUGUGAUUCUAAAGCCAAGGAUUAAACCCCUUUGUCCACC